Long non-coding RNA from Protopterus annectens (West African lungfish), 445 nucleotides. RefSeq lists it as uncharacterized. The transcript is spliced from 4 exons. The record is from RefSeq and is a predicted model, not a curated record. Lineage: Eukaryota; Metazoa; Chordata; Ceratodontiformes; Protopteridae.
CAACAGGAAUCUGUGGUAAUUUUUCAGUAUGUAUCAACACAGAAGGAAGUUACACAUGCCAAUGUCAGCAAGGAUUCCAGUCAAAGUCUGGAAAGGAUACUUUCACUUCUGUGGCCACUUCUGGAUGUGUAGAUGUUGAUGAGUGCAAUACAACAGGAAUCUGUGGUAAUUUUUCAGUAUGUAUCAACACAGAAGGAAGUUACACAUGCACAUGUCAGCAAGGAUUCCAGUCGAAGUCUGGAAAGGAUAAUUUCACUGAUGUGGCCACUUCUGGAUGUGUAGAUGUUGAUGAGUGUAAUACAAAAGGAAUAUGUGGUGAUUUUUCAGUAUGUAUCAACACAGAAGGACGUUACACAUGCACAUGUCAGCAAGGAUUCCAGUCAAAGUCUGGAAAGGAUAAUUUCACUGAUGUGGCCACUUCUGGAUGUGUAGAUGUUAAUGAGUG